RNAcentral lists this unclassified non-coding RNA (1056 nucleotides) under Hevea brasiliensis (rubber tree). Lineage: Eukaryota; Viridiplantae; Streptophyta; Magnoliopsida; Malpighiales; Euphorbiaceae. The record is from RNAcentral.
AUCAAUAAUAAGUAAACAUUCCACGCGAACAAAACAUGGUGGAACUAACAGAUGGCCAUAGUGCAUACCGAAUGAUAAUCACUUGGCUUCAUCUAUACUUCACUCUUUGCCAUCGGCAGCACGGAGGGAGCCUAAUUCAACUGGAGCUUGUGUUCCCACAACUUUGGAUGAUCCAUAAGUGGACACAUCGGCACCCUUCACCUUCUCUUUCUCAAUUUGUUCCUUUAUCCAGAAAUACGUAAUCCUCAACCCAUCCUUCAACUUCAUAUUAGGAGCCCAGCCAAGCUUUUCCUUGAUGAGAGUGUUGUCAGAGUUUCGACCACGCACACCCUCUGGUCCUGGAAUGUGAUGGAUCGGAAGGUUCUUGCCAUCAAAGCUGAGGACUAUCUCUGCCAUCUCAUUCAUGCUUACCAUCUCAUCACUUCCGAUGUUCACAGGCUCUCUGAAGUCGGAUUUUGUUAACCUCAGGACACCUUCAACACACUCAUCAAUGAAGGUGAAAGAUCGAGUUUGCUUUCCAUCUCCCCACAUCUCGAAUUUGUCAGUGGAAGUGAGGGCUUUUCUACAAAAAGCUGCUGGUGCUUUCUCACGUCCGCCUUUCCAUGUUCCAAAUGGGCCAUAAAUGUUAUGGAAACGGCCAAUGCGACAUUCAAUUCCAAAGUCCUUGUUGUAGUGCUUACACAACUCCUCUGUUGCUAGCUUUUCUAAGCCAUAAGCAUCUUGAGGCUCUGCAGGCCAAGCAUCAGACUCCUUUAAGCUCACGUUAGUUUCCAAUUGCUUAAAUUCAGGGUAGAUGCAAGCACUGGAUGCAUAAAAGAACCUCUUAACACUAUUUAUUCUUGAAGCCUCCAUCAUGUUAAAGCUGAUCAUAGUGUUGUUAUACAUGAUCACCGAGUGGUUCGACUGAAUGAAGCCCAUACCUCCCAUAUCAGCAGCGAGAUUGAACACAUGAUCAACUCCUUUUGUGACUUUCAAACAGUUAUCCAUCACCCUGAGAUCAACAAGAUGGAACUCAUGACAAAACAUGUCCUCAGACAUGUGCUCAUUCUUCUUCCA